This is a long non-coding RNA of Apodemus sylvaticus (European woodmouse), 4613 nucleotides long. RefSeq lists it as uncharacterized. The record is from RefSeq and is a predicted model, not a curated record. The transcript is spliced from 4 exons. Lineage: Eukaryota; Metazoa; Chordata; Mammalia; Rodentia; Muridae.
CCUUUGCAAACACAAGCUUAACAGUCUUUCUGUUUCAUUAGACAAGACUGCCUCCACCAGAACCGUACGAGAGCGUGUUCUUAGAAGACCAGUUUAGCAGCUGCUUCUGCUUGCCGCGUUCAUCUUGAAGAUCACAAGGAGUGAAGGCGCUUUCCUGUUCUGCUUGCCUGGGGCCAUACCCGGGAACUUCAGACUGAGUGCCUUAUUUUAAGCACAGCACUGAUGGACUGAAGUACUCAGAUGGAGAGCACGCCCCAGUCUCUCAGCCAAGCUUCACCUGGGAAAUCUGAGUGACAGGUGACGUGCCGGCAGCUGGAAGACGCACAGUAAACGGAGCCUACGAUGAGCUCAGAAGAGGUUGGUUAAGGAAGAGGAGGAAUAGGAAGUGCUUGGAGCCGUUCCCAGCCGAUGACCCACCCGCAAGCGCAGAUGCCAGCGCAUAUCUGGACCAUCAUAGUCCUGAAGCUUAUGCUGUAAAGAAAGCAGAAGCCUGGGGGCUGGAGAGAUGGCUCAGCGGUUAAGAAUACCGACUGCUCUUCUGAAGUUUCUGAGUUCAAAUCCCAGCAACCACAUGGUGGCUUACAACCAUCUGUAACGAGAUCUGACGACCUCUUCUGGGGUGUCUGAAGACAGCUACAGCGUACUUACAGAUAAUCAAUACAUAAAUCUUUGAAGAAGAAAAAGGAAAAAAAAGAAAGCUGGAGUCUACCACAGGCUCUCAGUCCAUUAUCUGUCUGUAAGACAAGGCUUUGGUGUUUAUUGAGACAGGGUCUUGGACUAACAGUUUUGAAAUUUUGGUUUCUUUUUUUUAAAAAAUACAGAAAUAUUAGAAUAUGUUUUCAUUUUAAUCUCAGGUGUGAGAUACAGGACUGUUUCUGAUUGUCCACAGCAGCUGACUGUGAUUUGCCUUGUGCUCUAGCAGGGGUGUGAUUUUGCCAAUGGCAGAUAGUUUCUGAGACUGUGUAACAUUUGGAAUCCUGGGAAAUUUUCAGAAAGCAUAUUAAGGCUAGGAGUCCCAAGAGGUUCCUUUCUAUCCAUUUUUAUCUGCUAUCUAGCUUUAGGGGUGUUGAAAGCGUGGAAAAAGUGAAGAAAGGGGUAGAAGAAAGAAGAACCCACAAAGAAGCAAACGCUGGCCACAGUCUUACCAUGCAUCCCUCCUGGUGUUUACUUCUAGCAUUGGCUAAGCACAAUAGCAGGGAAGAAGUAACAUGUGCGAUUAUUCCUACAGUAGUCCCCAUGGCGCUUCAAGGUGUUUGGAUCACUGCAGAUGACUGGUGCUGUGUGACUUAGUGAAGAGCAAUGGUUGGUGACUUUAGAACUGUUUGCCUUGAGCAGAUAGAACUAAUUAUAACUAUACCUCAGAGUGACAGGAGAGUAACAGGGCAGGUUAGGGUGUCCAGGAUUAUAGAGAUUCAAAUUAUUCUGUAACCCCCUAUUUUUACUAAGAUGUCUGCCAGAACUAAAGAGCCACUAUGUAUGCCAGGCUGGUUUGAACUCACAGGGAUCUGCCUGCCUCUGCCCUGGCAGAGUGAGUUCCAGGACAGCCAGGGCUACACAGAGAAAUCCUGUCUCGAAAAAAACAAAACAAAACAAAAAGAUCUGGAGAGAUGGCUCAGCAGUUAAGAGUACUUUCUGUGUAAUUAUGAGAACCAGAGUUUGAUCCCAGCAUCUGUGUAGCAAAUUUGCAUGCCUGUAAUCUCAGCAACAAGGGACUAGAAACUAGAUGAUCACCAGGAUUUGCUAGCUUCUAGUCUAUCUGAAAAAAUUCAAAUCCUAGUCUAGAGAGAGACUCUGCCUCAAAAAUUAUAAAUGGAUAAUUACAGAGGAAGACACUCAACAUAGCCUUCUCUGCAUGGACACCCACACACAUCUUAGCUACUGUUCUAUUACUGUGAAGAGACACUAUGACCAAGGAAAACCUAAAAGAAAUCAUUUAAUUGAGGACUUGCCUACAGCUUCAGAGAAUCCAUUAUCAUCAUGGCAGGGACUGUGGCAGCAUGCAGACAGACUUGGUGCUGAAGAAGUUGCUGAGAGCUACAUCCUGCUCGACAGGCAGCAGGCAGAGAGAGACAACACUGGGCUUGGCAUUGGCUUUUGAAACCUCAAGGUCUGCCCCCAGUGACACACCCCCUCCAACAAGGCCACACCCCCUAAUCCUUCUUAAACAGUUCCACUCCAUGAUGACUAAGAAUUCAAAUAGAUGAGCCUCUGGGGGACAUUCUCAGGCAGACCACCACGUAUACCAUAUAUAUAUACAUAUAUAUUCAUACAUAGAUUUUUUUAAAAAUAAGAAAUAUGAGAGGCUGAGAUGAGAGCGGUUCCUGCACAAGCAUGCGGAUCUCCGCGCUGAGCUUGGAUCCCAGAACCUGUACAGAAAACUAAGCUUUGCUACGUGGGCCCUGGGUAGAGAGGAGGUAGAGAGGAGAAGCAGAGACCGGAUGGUCUCUGAGACUUAUUGGCAGCCAGCUAGCUGAAAAAUAUCUCCAAGCUAACUGUCUCAAGGGAAUAAGACAGAGAAUCACAGAGAAGACACAUGACGUUCUCUGGUCUCAGCAUACACAUAUGGCAUGGGCAACACACACACACACACACUUGUACAAGGAAGAAUCAGUAGUUCAAGGUCAUUCUUGGGUACAUAGGGAGUUUGAGGCCAGCCUGUGCUACAUGAGAUUCAAACAAAACAAAAAGAAAGAAAGCUCUCAGAGAACUUCCUGCUGUAAUUGGAGCGCUCUUGCCUACUGCCUGGACUGCCCAGUGCUGAGGAAACCAGGGGACUAGAGGUGGGCAAGGGCCAAGGACCUGAAUGGCAGACAUACUUCUUGCAUGACCACUAUCAAGCGAGCCAACUCCUGGUGCCCAACAUACUCAGACCCAGACAGCCUGUGCCAGGGUGUGUGGGUUGGAGGAGUCAGCACAGAAGCUUCCUGCCCCAGGCACUUCAGGUCUGUGCAGGUCCUCCAUCCCACCUCUGGAGACUGCUCCCACAUCUGAAGUCUCCCCUGUGUUCCCACUGUAAGCUCAAGAGCUGAGGUGCUUCCUCUGAUUCUUCCAGAGGUGGGAGGCAGAAAGCAGGAGCUGUGAUCCUCAUGCCAGACACAAACCCUGGGAAAUUACUUGCCCCAGGGCAAGCUUUCAGAAAUCCUGGCAAGGAACCCAAGCCCUGCGGACAGUAAAAAUGGCUACUCAGCAGGGUCUCUGGUAUUAGUGGUCAGGGUGGGGACUUCUAAACUUGGGCUAGGAACUGGAGGUUCACCCAUGGGCUGAGCCACCCUUGACAAGGAACUUGCACCUCUUCUGACCAACUGAGACUCUUAAAGCUCUCAGCAUUAGCAAAUUGACCUUAUUUUUCAUUUUUCUUUUUCUUUUUUUUCUUUUUCUUUUUUGACAGGGUCUUAUAUAUCCCAGGCCAACCUUAAAGUUGUUAUGAAGCAAAGAUGACCUAAGAAUGGCCUUGAACUUCUUCCUGCUAUCACUUCCUUAAUGCUUAGAUUACAGGAUGCAUCACAGUGCUACAUUUAUGAGAUACUGAGGAUCAAACCCAGGCUUCCAUCCAUGCUAACAGGCCCUUUACCAGCUAAGCCACAUCCUUAAGUCUUAAGAUUGACUUCAUACAUACUUGGGGUCCUAUUAAUGGCUUUCUGAUAUACGGCCACCACUUCGCCCCAUGGAAAAUAACAAUUGAUAUUGUAUUGGCCCCUGUUCUAAUGGCUGUUCCCCAGCACCCCCAUAGGAAAUUUCCCAGUUGUGGCUUCUCAUGAGCUCCCGUCCUCAGGAAGCAGGAUCUUAUGACCAGCCUACUCAAGUUCCCUUCUCCGCUUUCUUCAGAAAGGCAGAAACCUCUGUGCUCUGCGUACUCAGCUUUCCAGGGCCUGGCUCACAGCCACGUGUGGUACCAGUCACUGUCUGCCAGAGAGUAAACGGAAUCAGGUGGCCUAGGUUCCGGCUGCUGAGUGGAGGGAGGCCAGGAUGAAUGGUGGCCCACAGAGAAAAGGAAGCCCUCAGAAAAUAAGAGAUCUUCGGGAAGGAGUUCCAGGACCUGCAGUUGAUGGGUGACGAGUAGUGUCCCUUGGAGCCUGAGGAUACUGUUCUCACCAGAGCUUGGCUUUUGCUGAGCCCUGCAGAAUCUGGCUAGCCAGGGCCUGGGAGAACCUUCCACACACUGAGAAAAAGCCCCAAGGACUAAGACCUUGGUUCUCAGUCUCUCUUUGGCCUUUUGCCAAAGCUGUGUGGGUCCCCCAGCCUCAUUUUAGAACCUUAGUUGCCACCUCUGUUAAAAAGAAUGGUGUCGUGAUUCUAAGAGUGCUAAGGAAGUCAGUUUUAUUCCCAAAUAUUUCUGUUCUCUACCUGUCAUCCAUGCCAAAGCUCUCUGUCCUUUGCAAGCACGACGGCGUUCAUCUGUCACUCAGAAGGUAGCUAGCUCUGCAUCCAGGGCUGGAGAGAUGGCUCAGAAGUAAAGAGCGCUGCCUGCUCUUGUAGAGGACCUGGGUUCAGUUCUCUGCACACACAUGGCACCUCACAGCUACCUAUGACUCGGACGCCUUCUUCUAACUUCCACAGGCCUGGUGUGUGGUGUAUCCAUUCAAACAAAACACCCAUCCAUGCAAAAUAAAAUA